UCAACUCCUUUAUUUUCCCUUCCAAUUGCCUUACUUUGACAAGUAAUUUCUCAUUCAUUUUUAAUCCGUUUUGGACGUGAGCAUAUAUCAAAAUGAAGAUAUCACGGAGGAGAACACGAAUGUAAUCAAUAACUCGUUUUGAUUAUAUUCAUAGUCCAAAAUUUGUGCUAAAAAAUGGAGAAAAUCCAUUUUUGGAAAUUAAUAAAAUUAAUUUUCCAACAUAUAUGUGUGUGUGUCUAAGUUAUAACACUUAUAUCUUGGAAUUUAUACAUGCACUUGAGAAACAUGCUACCCAUUUUAUUUUAUAUUCGUAAAAAUGUAUAUUACUCGCUUAAAUAGGUACUAUAUACUUGAGAAACAAUUUUGAACUCACAUCAAAGGGGUCAAAAAUAAGGUCGACUUUACCCUUUACAAAACUAAGUAAAGGCUUAGGGUUUUAAGUUAUAACACUUAUAUCUUGGAAUUUAUACAUGCACUUGAGAAACAUGCUACCCAUUUUAUUUUAUAUUCGUAAAAAUGUAUAUUACUCGCUUAAAUAGGUACUAUAUACUUGAGAAAC
RNAcentral lists this long non-coding RNA (559 nucleotides) under Lactuca sativa (garden lettuce). Its description in RNAcentral is "long non-coding RNA (LSAT_LNC001861)". Lineage: Eukaryota; Viridiplantae; Streptophyta; Magnoliopsida; Asterales; Asteraceae. The record is from RNAcentral.